ACACUCCUGCGGGAGGCAGCAGUGGGGAAUUUUGGACAAUGGGCGAAAGCCUGAUCCAGCAAUGCCGCGUGUGUGAAGAAGGCCUUCGGGUUGUAAAGCACUUUUGUCCGGAAAGAAAUCCUUGGCUCUAAUACAGUCGGGGGAUGACGGUACCGGAAGAAUAAGCACCGGCUAACUACGUGCCAGCAGCCGCGGUAAUACGUAGGGUGCGAGCGUUAAUCGGAAUUACUGGGCGUAAAGCGUGCGCAGGCGGUUUGCUAAGACCGAUGUGAAAUCCCCGGGCUCAACCUGGGAACUGCAUUGGUGACUGGCAGGCUAGAGUAUGGCAGAGGGGGGUAGAAUGCCACGUGUAGCAGUGAAAUGCGUAGAGAUGUGGAGGAAUACCGAUGGCGAAGGCAGCCCCCUGGGCCAAUACUGACGCUCAUGCACGAAAGCGUGGGGAGCAAACAGGAUUAGAAACCCCUGUAGUCCCA
This 473-nucleotide ribosomal RNA is filed under the name uncultured organism. RNAcentral's name for it is "partial 16S ribosomal RNA". It matches the Rfam family "Bacterial small subunit ribosomal RNA", at positions 333 to 797 of the family's 1533-position model. The record is from RNAcentral.